CCUCUCCCCAACCCCUCUUUCUCUCUCCCCUCCAUCUUUUCAUUAGAACCUCUCUGUCUCCUUCCCACACCCAUCCGAGACACGUAAACACGCAUGCAGCGCCAGCCGCCUCUUCCCUCACUGCCACGCCGCCCAGCUGCUGCGCUUGGUGCGAGAGGAAAGCGGUGGAACCACGCUCCCCUGCUCCCCGCUUCUUCCCGUGAAAGUUGGAAGUAGCUCAGGUUUGAAGCUUGUCCAUAAGGCUGCAGCUCCCAGAGAGGAAAGAUGGAGCUCGGCGCCCCUCCCUCCUAACCCCUGAAGGCAGAGAAGCUGAUGUGUCCUCCUAAGGAUGCUUCUGAGAAGUCUCACUGUGGAAAUAGCCCGUGGCCGUGGAUUCUGGAGCUUUCUCCAAGGCCAUAGCGUUCAGAGGAUCACAAAUGCUUCUCCCUGUGGAAAUUCUUCAGCUAUAUGUGUCUACUUGAAAUUUCCUCGAUGUCAGCGUCUUCCCUUUUUUAGAAAUCCCCGUUAGAUGUGAUCCAUGCACACCGCUUUUUCCAUCACACUUCAUUUCCAUGUAGAUUUUUAAAAUUGUUUUUGAAGCGUUAGGUUAAAUAGGUCUCUCUCUUUUUAAAUCCAAACUUUAGUGCAUUUUUUCAUUGUCUUUGAGAAGAAUGGGAAGGUAGGUUCUUGGUGCAGUAAUUUCUCUACGGAAAAAAAUAGGGAGAGGUUAGCUUAUACCCAAGGGUCACCAAUUUGAGAGCUUAAGACUUUUUUUUUUUAAAGGUCCAGUUUAGUUUUCGGAACCGAAAUGGGAACAGUUACAUGAACUACAUUUACCUUUUUUAAACUUAAUGUCAUAUUGACACAUUUCUAAUGGAGACCAAAAUUAUCACCAUUGAUUUGUCAUAACUAUUUUCGACUAUCCAGUGAUUUGGGAUAUUCUGGAUUUAGUCAAUUUAAAGCCUCGUUUUGUUUUACGCGUGGUUCAGUUUGUCAUGAUUUACUUUGGAAAAUUAUGGGAAUUUUUUUAUUUACAGAAAGCUUAUUUGUAAAUUGAAUCUUAGUAACACCUUAGAAUCUGGAAUGAAGCAUAUGCUUCCUCUUUCCAUGUGCAUAACCAGCUCCGUUUGUUUUGCACAAUUGAAAUUGUUAGAGCCUUAAAUCAAGUACAAAUCAAGUUAAACUGUUAUUUUCUAUUUGGAUGACAAAGCCAAGGAAGUCCUUGGUGUGAGAAAUCAUGUUGACAAAGGUGAAGUUACCUUUUGUCCACCAGCAUGAAGAAUAUCUUUUCUAGAAAUACCUUUUAAGUGAAUGUAAUAUAUCUUGGAGUUCAAGAGGAUACUUGUAAAGGUCAUGGUUGUCAAUUCUUUUGGUUUAUUUGGUUAAGUAGUAUGGUGUAGUCUGUAUGAGGAAAGUUAGAUGCUCAGCCUAAAUUGUCAAUUGGUAGAGUAGGUUGGAAGUACAUUCAGAUGGACUUUGGUUAUGAGGUAGGAGAUUGAACUUUUCAUUUUUAGUUUGAUAAAAUUUUGGUCUUUUUUUUUAGGUUUUUAAGCAACCGAGAAUAUGGCUUACAUCGUAAACCAUUACGUACCACCCUUUAACUCUUGAUAGAGUUGAAAAAUUAGUUUGGUUUAAAAUGAGGGAACGCACUAGGAGAUGUUGAAAGGCACUGUCUGUUGUCUUUUUAAAAAAAAUUAGAUUGUGAGGCCACCGUAAAAUAAGACUUCAUUUGAACACACUAAAAGUAGAUAUAAUUGAGGAAUUAAGAAAUAUGAAACCUAGUUGUUUUCUCCCCUGAGUCUUGAUUUUCUCUUUGGGGAAAAUUUGUAUUUUCCAUUUUCACUUAGAGGCAAAAGGUGGUUACCUUUCUCUUGUGAGGGAGGUUAUGGAUAAGGAGAAUAUAACACACUGGACUUUUUUCAUGUUUAGCGAAAAUGAGUAAUUUUUAACUUGUCUAAAUAUAGACAAGUUAGUCAAAUAGUGCAAUACCAAUUUAAAUAGAGGCUUUAAAAAUUAAAUAAACAACUAUUUUACCACUAUGGACUUUAUCCUGUCCAAGCUAAGAGGUUAGUGCUUGGUGAUAGAAUUUAGUAGAAAAAUUCACCUUUACAUUAUUUAAAAAAAAAAAAAAAAAAAGCUUUAUCAGAAACAGUGCAGCAGGUGCUGCUAGUUUCACACUUCAUUCCAAAAUCAUGGAAGGCUUGAAAGGUAUCACCUUAUAUAUAGGAUCUGGGUUGGUAUUAAUUGUAGACAUCUGAGUCAUUUAUCAUGAAUAGUAAAUACCUCUGCUGUUUUAGUAUCAAAGGUUCUUUUGCAUUCAUAUUUUAAUAUGGCAGGCUUUUCCUUGUGACUAUACAUUUCCAGUGAAAUUUAAAAUUAGGACUUGAAUAUUUUUAGUACCUUAAAGGUUAAUACUAGUAUAAAUCGUUGACUCAGAGUUCUUUUCUUGGUCUGACAAUGACGUAACAUCCAAGAUAUUGCCAUUCUAAUUAAGUAAUAUUGACAAAUACUUUAUAGUACUUAGUAAGUUGUAGGUAUUCUAAGCAGUUUAUAUGUAUUAACUUAAUCUCUACUAUGUGGUAGGUACUGUUCCCAUUUUAUAGAUGAGGAAAAUGAAGUAAUGAGAGGUUAAUUAACUUCCAAGGUCACACAGCUAGUAAAUAGUAAAGUUGGAAUUUGAUCCUAGGUGUAGAAUACUUCUUGUCACUACUCAAACUGUAGAAGACUUUUUUUUAUAGCAUAAGAGUUUUAUGUAGCUUUUGAUCUGACCCAUUUAAAAAGAUGUUUUGUUUUUUAAUCUCUUAACUUCAGAAAUAUUUGGGAUGUCUUCAUCCCUGGGGAAUUUCGAGAUUAUGUUCAUUAUAACUCAUUGAAUUAGUAGUGACAGAUUAAGUGACCUACUGACUGGAAGAAUAAGAUUUUACUCUGCUCUAUAUUGUGUUAUUGGCUGGGCUACUUUCUGUAAUAGUGUAAAAAGGCACUUUCUUCCAUUUAACCAAAUUGUAGAAUUGUAUUUUGUUAGUAGACAUUUCACUAUUGCCUUCUUUUACUCUGAAAUCUAAUACUAUAAGUCAUCAAAAGUAAGUUAAAAUUAGUAAUUGUAUUUGAUAUAAUUUUUCCUUCCAAAGUUCUUGGGAAAUCACUUUAAAAGUUUUCUGAUUAAUGUUUGCUGUAGGGCACAAGAUUAACUGCCCUUCAUGUACUUGUGUCUCGUGUGUCAUGAAUUAACUACCGUCUUUCAUGCACCUGCAUCCAUGCUGCUUUGGUCCAUGGCUAAUUCUUUUCCCCAACUCUCAUCUUUUCCAACAAAAUUUGCAGUUGUCCUUUUGGAGACGGGCAAAGUCUCCUUAAGGAAAUUUACAUUGUGCUUCAGUAGUUGUAGAUGAAUGAUUGGGUUCCAAGUACCAUAGAUUCCUUACACAAAAAUGAACCUGAGAAGGAAAGUGUGGGCAGAAUCCAGUUAUCCACAUAAAAUGCUUGAUAGGUACAUGUAAAUUCUGGGGGAUGGAGGUAAAAUUUUCUUUAACCAAUCUUCCAAUUCAAAAAAGUCAAGUCCUAUUUGUAGUUGUUUUUGUAGAUCUCUGCCACCAUAUUCAUUCCUAAUUCUGCAGUAUGUUCAACCUUGAUUUAAAGGUGAAACACUAUUCCUAAAGUAUUAUGUCUAGCAAUUUUACUAGACUGGAGAAAAGUGCAUUUUAAAAGCAAUUAUUAUGAGGAACAAAUAGAUAUUUAUUGUAUUUUAAUCAUUAAUACUAGUAGUCUUCAAAUAGAAUGCAGACCACAUGUACUCUCUAGCCUUUUAUUAUUUCCUUCCAUAAAUUGCUUUAAAUUGCAAUGUAUAGUUCAUAUCAAUUUGUACAUUUUGAUAACAGUAGUUCAUCUUUUAAAAGUUUAGCUUGUUUUUGUAUAUAUACUUACACAUGUACAAACUUAACACAAAGAUCAGCAUUGACACUAAAUAAAUUGGUGUCAGUAAUUGAGGAAAAAUGGUCCUUUGACUAAGGAACAAAGCUAUUUGAGGACCUAAAUUUUAUGUCUUAUUACAACUGCUUAAAUAUAACAUUAAAUUCUUGAGUAUGUUUUGUAUACUACCAGUAAUAAAAAAUAUUUGAUGAUAGCAUGUAUGGACUGGGAGACAGGAGAUCUGAAUUCUAGUUCUGAUUCUGAGAUAACAGUUCCUCUUCGGAAUUAUAAAUCUCCAAGUACCUUUCUAAAUACGUUCUUCGGUCCUAUAAAAUAUCCAUUAUCCGUUUUGUUGAUAGGAAAACCUUGUGAAUUAUAAGAAAUUAACUCAGUCUCCUUUCUGACAUAGAUUUGAUGGAAAUGCUGUAAAUAAGUAAAAUUGUAUAUUAAUGUAUGAGUGACCUAUUUUUACUGCCAUUAACUUCUAUACCAAAAAAAGGGUUUUAUGGCUUUGGACUUGUUAAAUGCAUUAAAAUGAGAAAUAUUUUUAAGAAAAGAUUUGAGAGAAGGUAGAAAUAACAUAAUCCUAGACAUUAAAUUCUUUUUUUUUUUCUACAGAAGGUAGAAAUAGCAUAAUCCUAAACAUUAAAUUCUCUCUCUUUUUUUUUUUUUUUAGCUUAUUUCCUGUGUGUAAGUGCUGUGUAUGAUUUCCUGGUCUAAAAUGAGGAAAAAAAUACAUGUUUCUAGUUUUUGGAAUGAUUAGUUUUAGCGCGCACACACGUGCGCGUGCACACACACUCCCCCCUUUUAUUUAAUUUCAGGAGCUCUAGGCAGCCUAAAUUUGAAUUCCAGCUGUCCUAAUAACUGUAACCUUGAGGAAGUUAACUUUAGCUGUCUCAUUUGUGAAAUGGGCAUAAUGAACAUCAUAGGUGGUUUUGAUGAUUAGAUGGGAUAAUACAUGUAAAGCUCUUAGUAUAUAGUAUCUGAAAAGUUGUAAUAACCCACUAAUUAUUGGACUCAAUAAUUGUCAACGUCCAGAGAACAAUAUAUUAGAUACUGACUUAGUUAAAUAAAUGAUUAAUACAUAAAAUAUUCUUUUCCUCAUUGGAUAGUCACAGUUAUUAUUGCUUCAAAUAAAGGCCCAUAAUUAAGAUGAUGAUAUGUAUAUAUUUUCUGUAAAAGAGGUGACCAUAUAUGUUGAUCGAGGUAUAUCCAUUGUUGAAAAGAUCUUUAAAGGCAAAAUAGAUCACCAGAACAUUAAGAAUAUAAACUUAUUAAAUUUCUAAACUAC
Molecule: long non-coding RNA, 5173 nt
Organism: Pteropus alecto (black flying fox)
Lineage: Eukaryota; Metazoa; Chordata; Mammalia; Chiroptera; Pteropodidae
Exons: 2
Source: RefSeq, a predicted model, not a curated record